Molecule: ribosomal RNA, 467 nt
Filed under: uncultured bacterium
Lineage: Bacteria
Description: partial 16S ribosomal RNA
Rfam family: Bacterial small subunit ribosomal RNA
Source: RNAcentral
GACGAACGCUGGCGGCGUGCUUAACACAUGCAAGUCGAACGGAAAGGCCCUGCUUUUGUGGGGUGCUCGAGUGGCGAACGGGUGAGUAACACGUGAGUAACCUGCCCUUGACUUUGGGAUAACUUCAGGAAACUGGGGCUAAUACCGGAUAGGAGCUCCUGCUGCAUGGUGGGGGUUGGAAAGUUUCGGCGGUUGGGGAUGGACUCGCGGCUUAUCAGCUUGUUGGUGGGGUAGUGGCUUACCAAGGCUUUGACGGGUAGCCGGCCUGAGAGGGUGACCGGCCACAUUGGGCCUGAGAUACGGCCCAGACUCCUACGGGAGGCAGCAGUGGGGAAUAUUGCACAAUGGGCGGAAGCCUGAUGCAGCAACGCCGCGUGCGGGAUGACGGCCUUCGGGUGGUAAACCGCUUUCGCCUGUGACGAAGCGUGAGUGACGGUAAUGGGUAAAGAAGCACCGGCUAACUACGG